UUGGAGUGCGACGAACUAUAGCAGAAUCCAUUUCUUGCCUUUUACCAGAGAUGGCCGUGGUUACGCGCAACAAACUCCAUUCAAACAAUCUUUGGACACUUAUUGACCGCUCUUGCGGUUU
Molecule: small nuclear RNA, 121 nt
Filed under: Cyphellophora attinorum
Lineage: Eukaryota; Fungi; Ascomycota; Eurotiomycetes; Chaetothyriales; Cyphellophoraceae
Description: Phialophora attae U5 spliceosomal RNA
Rfam family: U5 spliceosomal RNA
About the family: U5 RNA is a component of both types of known spliceosome. The precise function of this molecule is unknown, though it is known that the 5' loop is required for splice site selection and p220 binding, and that both the 3' stem-loop and the Sm site are important for Sm protein binding and cap methylation.
Source: Rfam by way of RNAcentral